This 1098-nucleotide long non-coding RNA is filed under the name Pan troglodytes (chimpanzee). RNAcentral describes it as "lncRNA (ENSPTRG00000053762.1)". Lineage: Eukaryota; Metazoa; Chordata; Mammalia; Primates; Hominidae. The record is from RNAcentral.
GCGCACUCCCUGCGGCCCUCCCGCCAGGCGCCGCGCUGGGCAGCCAGCGCCCCGGCGGGGUCCUUCAGGCCUUCGGCCGGGCAGCCUCCCUCGGGGUCCUUGCGCGGUUGCCUAGCAGCUGCGAGGACGCGGGCCGAGCCGGAAGUGGAGUGCGCUGCGGCGCGAGCUGGGCCGGCGGGUGUGGUUCGAGAGCGCGCGGAGUCCAGACUGGCGGCAGGGCCCGAGGGGCCGACCCGCAGCGUCCCUGGUCUCUCCAGCCCUCACUCGGAACCGCACGGUACAGGUGAAAGGGGGCAGACCCCUCAUCAUGCUUUCCAGGCAUCUGCCACUUCCCAGGAAUUGUCUCCCUGGAUAAACAAGGCGAAGUCCCUGGCUGUGCGGAAGCAGUAGCUGUGUGGUGGCGCAGUCAGGAAAACUCGGGGGCCCUGUUGACAGUGACAAUACCCUCCCCUCCCUUGGGCUGGACCCCUCUCUACAGCUAGGAGCCAAUGGCAGAAGACAAAACCAAACCGAGUGAGUUGGACCAAGGGAAGUAUGAUGCUGAUGACAACGUGAAGAUCAUCUGCCUGGGAGACAGCGCAGUGGGCAAAUCCAAGUAUGUUGGGAGAUUAGGGAAUAAAUACCAGCCCCAGAGAGGGUCCGGGUCAUUUUAAAAGUCCUCCAGAGGCAGAGGAGCAUGGCUUCUUGGGGCUGGUGAAGGAGCAGUCUUGGCUGGAGCGCAGAUGUUCAUGGGGGAACGAGGGGAAUCACGUGAGCCGUUGUGUGUGUCGGGUGGAGGGGGCAGGUCAUAAGGACUGAGGAAUUUGAAUGUUUCCUCUGAGCCCUGAGAGAACGUGUGGAGCAACUGAGGACAUUGUGUGUGGUUUGUGGGCUGAGGGGUGGCAAGGGCGGGGAGUGGGAAUGGAAAGACAAAAGUGAUUAUGCCACCAUGACAGAUUGGGUAAAGGUGGUAAAGAUGCUUUCUUGGAGGGACUCUCUGAAAUAGAGAAAACUGGGUAGAACUGACGAUUGACUAUAAUCAUUGUGAAGACUGGCUUCUUCUUGUAAUGAAUUUCGGUGCCUACAUGCCACCCGGAGAGGUGAAGGGAGGCUCUGCCG